Molecule: ribosomal RNA, 453 nt
Filed under: uncultured bacterium
Lineage: Bacteria
Description: bacterial SSU rRNA
Rfam family: Bacterial small subunit ribosomal RNA
Source: RNAcentral
AUUGAACGCUGGCGGCAGGCCUAACACAUGCAAGUCGAGCGGCAGCGACAUGAUAGAAGCUUCGGUGGAAAUCAUGGGCGGCGAGCGGCGGACGGGUGAGUAAUGCCUGGGAAUAUGCCUUGAUGUGGGGGAUAACUAUUGGAAACGAUAGCUAAUACCGCAUAAUGCCUUCGGGCCAAAGAGGGGGACCUUCGGGCCUCUCGCGUCAAGAUUAGCCCAGGUGGGAUUAGCUAGUUGGUGAGGUAAAGGCUCACCAAGGCGACGAUCCCCUAGCUGGUCUGAGAGGAUGAUCAGCCACACUGGAACUGAGACACGGUCCAGACUCCUACGGGAGCAGCAGUGGGGAAUAUUGCACAAUGGGCGCAAGCCUGAUGCAGCCAUGCCGCGUGUGUGAAGAAGGCCUUCGGGUGUAAAGCACUUUCAGUCGUGAGGAAGUGUGUAGUUAAUAGCUGC